GCUCCUUCUGUGCACAUGCACCUGUGUCCUUGUGCUGGCUGGGGGUCUUGGGAUGUCACCAUCCUCUUGGAACGCCUGCGACAAGUCCUUUAUGGCAGGCAAGGUCUUUAUUGCAGGACCUGGGGAGUGUCGCCUGGAGCUUUACAGUUUUCUUGUCACCUUUGAGUCUUAACUAAGAAGGCAGGAUGGGAGGGGAAGGGGAGGCUUCAAUGUGUGAAAGCACCAAACCCAACACAAUUUAUGUGGACAUUGUGAUCAUUUCUAUGCUGAAUUAAUGAACUCUAUCCUCUCCUUUUUUGGCUGGAAGAACACAAAAAUCCCAAUGAAAGGAAACAGAUGUCGUUGCUUUGAGCGUUUCCAAAGGAAACUGCAGUAAAAUCUGAAACACGCGGUGGAAAGGCCUGCUGUGUGACGGCGCUGCUCUGACAGCGCUGCCCUCCGCCAGCUGGAGCAGAUGGAUGAUGCCGUAAUUACAUGUUGAUUAUGUGUGAUAACACAGGAAGUACAGCCAGCACACAGGAGGCCUUCAGGAAAAUUGAUUGUUGAGACUUUGAUGAUCACGUGCAGCUUGAAACGGAUUUUGGAGAAAAGCAGCCUCAGAGACCGCACCCCUGAUUUUCCUCUCCUGCAGUCUCGUCCAGGCCUGUUCCUUCCCCGAGUCAACAUUCCUAAUGCUCCAUCUUAUAGAAAAAUUCUGACCCACAGUGGGUUCCACCCAGUGUCUCUCCGUCCCUACAGAGUCAAUGUCCCAGAGGUUGGUUUUGUUGCCUUUUCUUCAACCUUUGCCUCCACCGCAGUGUGCUGCCACCAACAGCCACUGAAGCCCUGGCUGCACCUGAGCUGAGCUCUGGGCUUCCCUCCUGCUCCGGGUCAUGUGCUCCGUGGCCCCAUGGGUGGCCACUGCCCUGUUCUGGAGGGCAGCAACUGGGCAGAUGGUUAGCAACUACUGAAACUGCACCAGUGCACCAAGCAAAUAGAUUGUUUAAUUUGAAUUAUAUAAAAUUUAAAUUUGAGUGGUCAUUGAAAACCUUUUCAGCAUGGCUGCAGCUACAUGGGUCUGUGUGGCUAGUGUUUUCAUCUGUGUGUGCUCUGAAAUCUACAUUCAGAGCAAGCAUUUCUGAUGAAAAUGUAGUGUCUGAAUGGAGAUGGGCCGAAGGGUAAGAUACACGGUGGGUUUCUGCGAUCUGUUUUAAAAAGAAGAGUGUAAAAUCUCUCAGUAUUUUCUAUUUGAUUACAUUUUGAAUUCAUAAUAUUUUGUCUACAUGGGGUUAAGCACAAUUUAUUAUUAAAAUAAUUUGUACCUGU
Molecule: long non-coding RNA, 1305 nt
Organism: Phacochoerus africanus (Common warthog)
Lineage: Eukaryota; Metazoa; Chordata; Mammalia; Artiodactyla; Suidae
Exons: 2
Source: RefSeq, a predicted model, not a curated record